Molecule: ribosomal RNA, 451 nt
Filed under: uncultured bacterium
Lineage: Bacteria
Description: partial 16S ribosomal RNA
Rfam family: Bacterial small subunit ribosomal RNA
Source: RNAcentral
AGCGAACGCUGGCGGCAUGCCUAACACAUGCAAGUCGCACGGGGGGGCUUCGGCCUCCCAGUGGCGGACGGGUGAGGAACGCGUAGGGACCUGUCGAGGGGUGGGGGAUAACCGCGGGAAACUGCGGCUAAUACCGCAUGACGCCGCGGCGUGACAGCCGGGGCCAAAGGCGAAAGCCGCCCGCCGAGGGGCCUGCGUCCGAUUAGCUGGUUGGCGGGGUAGCGGCCCACCAAGGCGUCGAUCGGUAGCUGGUCUGAGAGGGUGAUCAGCCACACCGGGACUGAGACACGGCCCGGACUCCUACGGGAGGCAGCAGUGGGGAAUAUUGGACAAUGGGGGCAAGCCUGAUCCAGCAAUGCCGCGUGGGUGAAGAAGGUCGUCGGAUUGUAAAGCCCUUUCGGCGGGGACGAUGGUGACGGUACCCGCAGAAGAAGCCCCGGCUAACUUCGUG